This 419-nucleotide ribosomal RNA is filed under the name bacterium. RNAcentral's name for it is "partial 16S ribosomal RNA". It matches the Rfam family "Bacterial small subunit ribosomal RNA", at positions 355 to 776 of the family's 1533-position model. The record is from RNAcentral.
UGGGGGAUAUUGCACAAUGGGCGAAAGCCUGAUGCAGCGACGCCGCGUGGGGGAUGAAGGCCUUCGGGUUGUAAACUUCUUUUGCUCUGAACAAGGCAUGCUAAUGGGUGUGUUGAGUGUAGGGGUUGAUUAGCGCCGGCUAACUACGUGCCAGCAGCCGCGGUAAUACGUAGGGCGCGAGCGUUGUCCGGAAUUAUUGGGCGUAAAGGGCUUGUAGGUGGCUGGUUGCGUCUGUCGUGAAAGCUCAUGGCUUAACUGUGGGUUUGCGGUGGGUACGGGCUGGCUGGAGUGCAGUGGGGGAGGCUGGAAUUCCUGGUGUAGCGGUGGAAUGCGCAGAUAUCAGGAGGAAUACCGGUGGCGAAGGCGGGUCUCUGGGCUGUUACUGACACUGAGGAGCGAAAGCAUGGGGAGCGAACAGG